This 465-nucleotide ribosomal RNA is filed under the name uncultured bacterium. Its description in RNAcentral is "partial 16S ribosomal RNA". It matches the Rfam family "Bacterial small subunit ribosomal RNA", at positions 339 to 795 of the family's 1533-position model. The record is from RNAcentral.
CUACGGGGUGCAGCAGUGAGGAAUUUUGCGCAAUGGGGGAAACCCUGACGCAGCAACGCCGCGUGAGUGAUGAAGGCCUUCGGGUCGUAAAACUCUGUCAAGUGGGAAGAACCUAUGUAAGGUUAAUACCCUUAUGUACUGACGGUACCACUGAAGGAAGCACCGGCUAACUCCGUGCCAGCAGCCGCGGUAAUACGGAGGGUGCAAGCGUUAUUCGGAAUUAUUGGGCGUAAAGGGCGCGCAGGCGGUUUUGUAAGUCAGAUGUGAAAGCCCGGGGCUUAACCUCGGAAGUGCAUUUGAUACUGCAAGACUUGAGUAUGGGAGGGGGAAGUGGAAUUCCUGGUGUAGAGGUGAAAUUCGUAGAUAUCAGGAGGAACACCAGUGGCGAAGGCGACUUCCUGGACCAAUACUGACGCUGAGGCGCGAAGGCGUGGGGAGCAAACAGGAUUAGAUACCCGCGUAGUC